This 78-nucleotide transfer RNA is filed under the name Staphylococcus epidermidis. RNAcentral describes it as "tRNA-Gly". It matches the Rfam family "tRNA". Rfam says of the family: Transfer RNA (tRNA) molecules are approximately 80 nucleotides in length. Their secondary structure includes four short double-helical elements and three loops (D, anti-codon, and T loops). Lineage: Bacteria; Bacillati; Bacillota; Bacilli; Caryophanales; Staphylococcaceae. The record is from RNAcentral.
GCGGGAGUAGUUCAACUCUCAGUAGAACACAUUCCUUCCCGGAAUGAGAUAUAGGUGCAAAUCCUAUCUUCCGCUCCA